GUUUAAGGUUAUAUCGUCCGUUUCUGUUCCGAACGGACAGUGGUUGGAAAUAUCUGAAAAAGAGAACGAAUUGGGUCGAAACUAGUGUCGAUGAUUGCCACGGUGAUUUUCGUAAUCGAAACCUUGACGCGGUAUCGCUGACAUUAAUACCUGUUAUGUUAAUGAAAAACGAUAACGACCCGCAGGAUCUAUCUUGAGACCAGUUCAUACGGAGAUACUGGCAAGGAUAAAUGAAGGCUUUAAUAGAUAUUUUUCUUUUCAUCGACAAGAAAAUAGUAUAAUUACAGGACGAUUAAAAUAUUCUUCUAA
This is a long non-coding RNA of Apis florea (little honeybee), 309 nucleotides long. RefSeq lists it as uncharacterized. NCBI's taxonomy places the organism in Eukaryota, Metazoa, Arthropoda, Insecta, Hymenoptera, Apidae. The record is from RefSeq and is a predicted model, not a curated record.